This 506-nucleotide non-coding RNA is filed under the name Trichobilharzia regenti. Its description in RNAcentral is "Eukaryotic large subunit ribosomal RNA". It matches the Rfam family "Eukaryotic large subunit ribosomal RNA", at positions 858 to 1173 of the family's 3401-position model. The record is from Rfam by way of RNAcentral. Lineage: Eukaryota; Metazoa; Platyhelminthes; Trematoda; Strigeidida; Schistosomatidae.
UAAUUUUAGAUUUUCCCGUAGAUUGAUUGGACUGAAGUACUCGAUCUCAGGUUGACAUAUUGGCUCCUUUUGCAGAGAACUGUAGUGAUUCUGAUGUAUAAAUUGAUCGUAUAACCUGAUUAUAGUCGAGAAAGCCUAAUCGAAACAUCUAGCAGCUGGUUCCCUACGAAGUUUCCCUCAGGAUCGAUGGCAUUCUGAGAUUUAAACAGUUUUAUCCAGUAAAGCGAAUGAUUAGAUGCAUUAAAGGAGAAAACGUCCGCGAAACCUUUUCUUAAACUUUAAAUAGGUGAGAGGCUUAACUCGCUUAAAUGGAGUUCUGCAUUCAACAUGAGUGCUCAGUGGGCCAUUUUUUUGAUAAGCAAAACUGGCUCCGUGGGAUGCGCAUUCUGGACUCCACAGCUAGUCACCAUCCCACAGUUUUUGCUGAUUACAUUAUAAAGGACAAUUAAGCCGUCCAACACACAAACUGGAAUUAUCCAACUUAGUAAGCUCCGAAUCAUCCAGAC